RNAcentral lists this small nuclear RNA (33 nucleotides) under Cervus elaphus hippelaphus. The record is from RNAcentral. Lineage: Eukaryota; Metazoa; Chordata; Mammalia; Artiodactyla; Cervidae.
AUCACUUCUCAGCCUUUUGGCUAAGAUCAAGUG